UACGAAGGGUGCGAGCGUUGUUCGGAAUUAUUGGGCGUAAAGGGUUCGUAGGCGGGAAGGUAAGUCAAGUGUGAAAUCCCCGAGCUUAACUUGGGAAGUGCACUUGAAACUGUUUUUCUUGAAUAUUGGAGAGGGUCGUGGAAUUGCUGGUGUAGGAGUGAAAUCCGUAGAGAUCAGCAGGAACACCUGAGGCGAAAGCGGCGACCUGGCCAAAUAUUGACGCUGAGGAACGAAAGCGUGGGGAGCAAACAGG
This 253-nucleotide ribosomal RNA is filed under the name uncultured bacterium. Its description in RNAcentral is "partial 16S ribosomal RNA". It matches the Rfam family "Bacterial small subunit ribosomal RNA", at positions 524 to 776 of the family's 1533-position model. The record is from RNAcentral.